Manihot esculenta (cassava) is the source of this 575-nucleotide long non-coding RNA. RefSeq lists it as uncharacterized. The transcript has 2 exons. NCBI's taxonomy places the organism in Eukaryota, Viridiplantae, Streptophyta, Magnoliopsida, Malpighiales, Euphorbiaceae. The record is from RefSeq and is a predicted model, not a curated record.
GCUUAGCUCUAAACAAUUGCGUGGUCUGCCUUCCAAGCCCUUGAGCUUUCAAUGUGACUUGCGGCCGUUAAAUUCGCUCGCAUCUAUCAUCUCUCUAUUACUUGUUUCCUUCUCUUCCCCAACUCUUCUGUAACCUUACCCUUUUAUCCCAACUUUAAACUUUUCUUCUUGUCUAACACUUUCAUUUCUCACUCUCAAUCUGCCAUAAGGUAACUGAACAUGGUGAUGAUGGGAUUGGAGAGGUUGAUGGUGACCUUAAAAUCAAAGAUAAGGUCUCUGAAGAUGAAGAAACCAUAUGAUAAGAUAGACAAAAGUGAAAGUAUGAGAGUUGAGAUAAGAAGCAGGAAGGCCAGGAAGCUUAUUGAAGAAACCUUGAAAGUUGCAGAUUCACCAAAGAGCAAGACUUACGCUUUUUGAGUGUCCGAAUAUAAAAAAAAACAGUUAAAACAGUAAGUUAACAGGGUCUUUAUGCCCUGUUUUGAUGCUUCAUCAACUAUGGUUUAUAGAAUAUGAAUGUUUAAGCCACUUAGUUGCCUUAGAUAUGGUGUAUACAUCUUGUCCCUGUUUUUUCUCUU